RNA transcript from Nerophis lumbriciformis (worm pipefish), 1769 nucleotides. It is a transcript of the gene named ceramide synthase-like, with no coding region annotated. The record is from RefSeq and is a predicted model, not a curated record. Lineage: Eukaryota; Metazoa; Chordata; Actinopteri; Syngnathiformes; Syngnathidae.
GCCACAACCAGCUGCUUCAGGCAAAUCCAUGCAAAUAAACUUCUGAUUAGGCCCCGCCCUCUUGGGGACAACGGUAAACUCCGCCCACUUGAUCCAAAUCUCAGUGUUGACAUCCAACACACCCACGCAGGCAUGUUGGCCUUGAUGGCUGCCGGCAGCGUCUUCUUCCCAGGAAUUUUCCUGGUUUCCAGACUGACUCUGAGGUUUGUGAUGGGAUGGAGUGAGGCCGACGCCACCGUUGUGUCCGUGCGCGGCGUGUCAUCCGUGCAGGCCGCCAUGGCGUCAGCGGCCGGAUACGUCAUCGCCUCGUCUUGCCUUGACGUCAUGGAGGACAAGCACUGGCUGACCGACGCCUACAUCAGCUUCGCCGCGCCCUACUUCGUCUACGACGUCUUUGCCAUGUUCCUGUGCCAUCGACACAAGCGCCAGCAGCAGGAGGGCGUGCACCUGGCGACCUUCGUACGUCGAGAGGUACUGAUGGUGCUUCAUCACGCCUUCAUGGUGCUCUUCUGCCUGCCCGCCUCCCUGGUGUGGAGGCGGGGCAAGGGUGAUUACUUCCAGGGUCUUCUGCUGCUGGCUGAGCUCAGCACACCGUGUGUGAGUCUGGCUAAAGUUCUGAUGCAGCCGUCAGCUGAAGAAGGAGCACACGCUGCUGUACAAGGUGAACGGCGCGCUGAUGCUGCUGGUCUUCUUCGGCUGCCGGGUGUUGCUCUUCCCCUACCUGUACUUGGCCUACAGCAGGUACGUGUACCUGCCCGUCCAUCAGGUGGUGCUGGAGGCCCCGUGGCAGUGCAAUGUGGGCGUGGCCAUGCUGUGGCCCCUGCAGAUCUAUUGGCUCACGCUCAUGUGUAGGCGGGCGCUACGCCUCCUCACGCGGCGCUCAGACGCCGAUGCCAAGAAGACGGCAUGACCCUCAACCUUUACUCCUCCGCUCAGCCUUUAUUUUGCUUGUCUUCUGAAGAAUCAGAAGACGAGUCAGAGUAACAUACAGAAGAACAAGAAGAAUCAGAAGAGUCAGAAGAACAUACAGAAGAACAAGAAGAAUCAAAAAAACAAGAAGAGUCAAAAAAACAAGAAGAGUCAGAAGCAGAAGACAAAAAGGGGCGGGUAUAUGGGUAUGGGCGGGGUAAGCGGACCUUCUACGAAAGCGUGCAGACCCUGGAUCUCGAUGACCUGCUGGCCCAGCGUGUGGCGACCUGGAGGAAGGCCCAUGGCAGCGAUGGCGUCUGUCACCAACACCAAACCUGCACACACACCAUCAGCGACCGUGGACAAUCGUGACCUCUGACCUUGAGAGCCCACCUGCCGGGUGAGCGCGGUGAGCGAUGCGCAGAGCAGCGGGGUUGGUGUGGAUCCCGUCAGCGAUCAUCCCGUAAAACACGCUCCUUCCCUGCGGGAUCCGGUCGCUGGUCAGCAGGCCCACGAUGCCCGGGUCUCGAUGGUGGAACUGGACCACAUGACAGGAAGUUAGCCUGGGCCAGUGACAAGGUUCAGCGCCAGGGGGCGGGACCUACAGGCAGCAUGGCGUUGAAGAGGUGGGUGAUGAAGGAGGCACCGUGUUGGACCGCCUCCUCCGCUUGGGACAAGUUGGCCACAGAAUGUCCUGCGGGAAUGCGAGCGUGAGAGCGUGCACGUGGCGGCACACGUAAGCGCGAGCGAGUGGGAACGCACCAAGCGACACGGUCACGCCCCUUUGGCAGAGCUCCUUCACCGCCGAUUGGCUGCCCUCCAGCUCGGGAGCUAGCGUCACCAUGGCGACGUCGUCCAGG